GAUGAACGCUGGCGGCGUGCUUAACACAUGCGAGUCGAACGGAAAGGCUCCUGCUUGCAGGGGUACUCGAGUGGCGAACGGGUGAGUAACACGUGGGUGAUCUGCCCUGCACUUCGGGAUAAGCCUGGGAAACUGGGUCUAAUACCGGAUAGGACGAUGGUUUGGAUGCCAUUGUGGAAAGUUUUUCGGUGUGGGAUGAGCUCGCGGCCUAUCAGCUUGUUGGUGGGGUAAUGGCCUACCAAGGCGUCGACGGGUAGCCGGCCUGAGAGGGUGUACGGCCACAUUGGGACUGAGAUACGGCCCAGACUCCUACGGGAGGCAGCAGUGGGGAAUAUUGCACAAUGGGCGCAAGCCUGAUGCAGCGACGCCGCGUGGGGGAUGACGGCCUUCGGGCUGUAAACUCCUUUCGCUAGGGACGAAGCGCAAGUGACGGUACCUGGAGAAGAAGCACGGGCUAACUACGUG
This 465-nucleotide ribosomal RNA is filed under the name uncultured bacterium. RNAcentral describes it as "partial 16S ribosomal RNA". It matches the Rfam family "Bacterial small subunit ribosomal RNA", at positions 28 to 507 of the family's 1533-position model. The record is from RNAcentral.